RNAcentral lists this ribosomal RNA (1441 nucleotides) under uncultured organism. RNAcentral's name for it is "16S ribosomal RNA". It matches the Rfam family "Bacterial small subunit ribosomal RNA". The record is from RNAcentral.
CAGGACGAACGCUGGCGGCGUGCUUAACACAUGCAAGUCGAACGGAAAGACCCUGCUUUUGUGGGGUGCUCGAGUGGCGAACGGGUGAGUAACACGUGAGUAACCUGCCCUUGACUUUGGGAUAACUUCAGGAAACUGGGGCUAAUACCGGAUAGGAGCUCCUGCUGCAUGGUGGGGGUUGGAAAGUUUCGGCGGUUGGGGAUGGACUCGCGGCUUAUCAGCUUGUUGGUGGGGUAGUGGCUUACCAAGGCUUUGGCGGGUAGCCGGCCUGAGAGGGUGACCGGCCACAUUGGGACUGAGAUACGGCCCAGACUCCUACGGGAGGCAGCAGUGGGGAAUAUUGCACAAUGGGCGGAAGCCUGAUGCAGCAACGCCGCGUGCGGGAUGACGGCCUUCGGGUUGUAAACCGCUUUCGCCUGUGACGAAGCGUGAGUGACGGUAAUGGGUAAAGAAGCACCGGCUAACUACGUGCCAGCAGCCGCGGUGAUACGUAGGGUGCGAGCGUUGUCCGGAUUUAUUGGGCGUAAAGGGCUCGUAGGUGGUUGAUCGCGUCGGAAGUGUAAUCUUGGGGCUUAACCCUGAGCGUGCUUUCGAUACGGGUUGACUUGAGGAAGGUAGGGGAGAAUGGAAUUCCUGGUGGAGCGGUGGAAUGCGCAGAUAUCAGGAGGAACACCAGUGGCGAAGGCGGUUCUCUGGGCCUUUCCUGACGCUGAGGAGCGAAAGCGUGGGGAGCGAACAGGCUUAGAUACCCUGGUAGUCCACGCUGUAAACGGUGGGUACUAGGUGUGGGGUCCAUUCCACGGGUUCCGUGCCGUAGCUAACGCUUUAAGUACCCCGCCUGGGGAGUACGGCCGCAAGGCUAAAACUCAAAGGAAUUGACGGGGCCCCGCACAAGCGGCGGAGCAUGCGGAUUAAUUCGAUGCAACGCGUAGAACCUUACCUGGGUUUGACAUGGAUCGGGAGUGCUCAGAGAUGGGUGUGCCUCUUUUGGGGUCGGUUCACAGGUGGUGCAUGCCUGUCGUCAGCUCGUGUCGUGAGAUGUUGGGUUAAGUCCCACAACGAGCGCAACCCUUGUUCACUGUUGCCAGCACGUUAUGGUGGGGACUCAGUGGAGACCGCCGGGGUCAACUCGGAGGAAGGUGGGGAUGACGUCAAGUCCUCAUGCCCCUUAUGUCCAGGGCUUCACGCAUGCUACAAUGGCUGGUACAGAGAGUGGCGAGCCUGUGAGGGUGAGCGAAUCUCGGAAAGCCGGUCUCAGUUCGGAUUGGGGUCUGCAACUCGACCUCAUGAAGUCGGAGUCGCUAGUAAUCGCAGAUCAGCAACGCUGCGGUGAAUACGUUCCCGGGGCUUGUACACACCGCCCGUCAAGUCAUGAAAGUUGGUAACACCCGAAGCCGGUGGCCUAACCGUUGUGGGGGAGCCGUCGAAGGUGGGACUGGUG